RNAcentral lists this ribosomal RNA (445 nucleotides) under uncultured bacterium. RNAcentral's name for it is "partial 16S ribosomal RNA". It matches the Rfam family "Bacterial small subunit ribosomal RNA", at positions 354 to 796 of the family's 1533-position model. The record is from RNAcentral.
GUGAGGAAUAUUGGUCAAUGGGCGAGAGCCUGAACCAGCCAAGUCGCGUGAAGGAAGAAGGAUCUAUGGUUCGUAAACUUCUUUUGCAGGGGAAUAAAGUGCAGGACGUGUCCUGUUUUGUAUGUACCCUGAGAAUAAGGAUCGGCUAACUCCGUGCCAGCAGCCGCGGUAAUACGGAGGAUCCGAGCGUUAUCCGGAUUUAUUGGGUUUAAAGGGUGCGUAGGUGGUUUGAUAAGUCAGCGGUGAAAGUUUGCAGCUUAACUGUAAAAAUGCUGUUGAAACUGUCGGACUUGAGUGUAAAUGAGGUAGGCGGAAUGCGUGGUGUAGCGGUGAAAUGCAUAGAUAUCACGCAGAACUCCGAUUGCGAAGGCAGCUUACUAAGCUACAACUGACACUGAAGCACGAAAGCGUGGGGAUCAAACAGGAUUAGAAACCCGGGUAGUCC